Molecule: ribosomal RNA, 255 nt
Filed under: uncultured bacterium
Lineage: Bacteria
Description: partial 16S ribosomal RNA
Rfam family: Bacterial small subunit ribosomal RNA
Source: RNAcentral
UACGUAGGGUCCGAGCGUUGUCCGGAAUUAUUGGGCGUAAAGAGCUCGUAGGCGGCCUGUUGCGUCCGCCGUCAAAUCCCAGGGCUCAACCCUGGACAGGCGGUGGAAACUACCAAGCUGGAGUACGGUAGGGGCAGAGGGAAUUUCCGGUGGAGCGGUGAAAUGCGUAGAGAUCGGAAAGAACACCAACGGCGAAACGCACUCUGCUGGGCCGACACUGACACUGAGAGACGAAAGCCUAGGGGAGCGAAUGGG